AAUCACCUUCUUAACAAAUCAUUGUAUUAAAUUUAGAAUUUAACAUACCCCUA
This 53-nucleotide transfer RNA is filed under the name Loxosceles mrazig. Its description in RNAcentral is "tRNA-Leu". Lineage: Eukaryota; Metazoa; Arthropoda; Arachnida; Araneae; Sicariidae. The record is from RNAcentral. RNAcentral also lists the same sequence under 1 other name.